Molecule: ribosomal RNA, 492 nt
Filed under: uncultured bacterium
Lineage: Bacteria
Description: partial 16S ribosomal RNA
Rfam family: Bacterial small subunit ribosomal RNA
Source: RNAcentral
AGUGAACGCUGGCGGUAGGCCUAACACAUGCCAGUCGAACGGCAGCACAGUAAGAGCUUGCUCUUACGGGUGGCGAGUGGCGGACGGGUGAGGAAUACAUCGGAAUCUACUUUUUCGUGGGGGAUAACGUAGGGAAACUUACGCUAAUACCGCAUACGACCUACGGGUGAAAGCAGGGGAUCUUCGGACCUUGCGCGAUUGAAUGAGCCGAUGUCGGAUUAGCUAGUUGGCGGGGUAAAGGCCCACCAAGGCGACGAUCCGUAGCUGGUCUGAGAGGAUGAUCAGCCACACUGGAACUGAGACCCGGUCCAGACUCCUACGGGAGGCAGCAGUGGGGAAUAUUGGACAAUGGGCGCAAGCCUGAUCCAGCCAUACCGCGUGGGUGAAGAAGGCCUUCGGGUUGUAAAGCCCUUUUGUUGGGAAAGAAAAGCAGCAGGUUAAUACCCCGCUGUUCUGACGGUACCCAAAGAAUAAGCACCGGCUAACUUCGUG